AGUGAACGCUGGCGGUAGGCCUAACACAUGCAAGUCGAACGGCAGCACAGUAAGAGCUUGCUCUUACGGGUGGCGAGUGGCGGACGGGUGAGGAAUACAUCGGAAUCUACUUUUUCGUGGGGGAUAACGUAGGGAAACUUACGCUAAUACCGCAUACGACCUACGGGUGAAAGCAGGGGAUCUUCGGACCUUGCGCGAUUGAAUGAGCCGAUGUCGGAUUAGCUAGUUGGCGGGGUAAAGGCCCACCAAGGCGACGAUCCGUAGCUGGUGUGAGAGGAUGGUAGGCCACACUGGAGCGGGGACACGGUCCAGACUCCUACGGGAGGGAGCAGUGGGGAAUAUUGGACAAUGGGCGCAAGCCUGAUCCAGCCAUACCGCGUGGGUUAAGAAGGCCUUCGGGUUGUAAAGCCCUUUUGUUGGGAAAGAAAAGCAGCAGGUUAAUACCCCGCUGUUCUGACGGUACCCAAAGAAUAAGCACCGGCUAACUUCGUG
RNAcentral lists this ribosomal RNA (492 nucleotides) under uncultured bacterium. Its description in RNAcentral is "partial 16S ribosomal RNA". It matches the Rfam family "Bacterial small subunit ribosomal RNA", at positions 29 to 507 of the family's 1533-position model. The record is from RNAcentral.